RNAcentral lists this ribosomal RNA (497 nucleotides) under uncultured bacterium. RNAcentral's name for it is "partial 16S ribosomal RNA". It matches the Rfam family "Bacterial small subunit ribosomal RNA", at positions 28 to 507 of the family's 1533-position model. The record is from RNAcentral.
GAUGAACGCUGGCGGCGUGCCUAAUACAUGCAAGUCGAGCGAACGGACGAGAAGCUUGCUUUUCUGAUGUUAGCGGCGGACGGGUGAGUAACACGUGGAUAACCUACCUAUAAGACUGGGAUAACUUCGGGAAACCGGAGCUAAUACCGGAUAAUAUUUUGAACCGCAUGGUUCAAAAGUGAAAGACGGUUUUGCUGUCACUUAUAGAUGGAUCCGCGCUGCAUUAGCUAGUUGGUAAGGUAACGGCUUACCAAGGCAACGAUGCAUAGCCGACCUGAGAGGGUGAUCGGCCACACUGGAACUGAGACACGGUCCAGACUCCUACGGGAGGCAGCAGUAGGGAAUCUUCCGCAAAGGGCGAAAGCCUGACGGAGCAACGCCGCGUGAGUGAUGAAGGUCUUCGGAUCGUAAAACUCUGUUAUUAGGGAAGAACAUAUGUGUAAGUAACUGUGCACGUCUUGACGGUACCUAAUCAGAAAGCCACGGCUAACUACGUG